CGUCUAUAUACGUAUAGCAUAUCAAUAAGCGGAGGAAAAGAAACUAACUAGGAUUCCCUCAGUAACGGCGAGUGAAGCGGGAAGAGCUCAAAUUUGAAAUCUUCAAGGUUUACCUUGACGAAUUGUAGUUUAAAGAAGUGUUUUCUGUUGGAGUUUUGGUAAAAGUUCUUUGGAAUAGGACAUCAUAGAGGGUGAGAAUCCCGUAUUUGACCAUUAUUUCCAACUUUGUGAUACACUUUCAAAGAGUCGGAUUGUUUGGGAAUGCAGUCCAAAAUGGGUGGUAAAUUUCAUCUAAAGCUAAAUACUUGGCGAGAGACCGAUAGCGAACAAGUACCGUGAGGGAAAGAUGAAAAGAACUUUGAAAAGAGAGUUAAACAGUACGUGAAAUUGUCAAAAGGGAAGCGUUUGACACCAGUGUUGUUUUCCUCGAAAAUCAAUUAAAAAUGAGUUGGAUUUUGUGUUGUUAUGACCUUAUCAGCUUACUGUACUUUUUUCUUGCUUUUUUUAAUGCACUUUUCGUUUAACAAGUCAACAUCAAUUUCUUUUGUUGUAAAAGGGUCAUUGGAAGGUGGCUUUCACUUCGGUGAAAGUGUUUAUAGCCUUUGGCUUCUGCAAACGGAGAGAUUGAGGUCUGCAGCGUAGAUCCUUCGGGGUUAGAUACGUAGAUGCUAAGUUAUAGUUUUUUAUAGACAACUUGUUGACUAUGAUUAAUCAUGUAGCUUACUCGUUUGCGCUAUUUUACCUACGCUUAGGAUGUUGACACACGCGCGUGCUCG
This 776-nucleotide ribosomal RNA is filed under the name uncultured Neocallimastigales. Its description in RNAcentral is "partial large subunit ribosomal RNA". It matches the Rfam family "Eukaryotic large subunit ribosomal RNA", at positions 26 to 646 of the family's 3401-position model. The record is from RNAcentral. Lineage: Eukaryota; Fungi; Neocallimastigomycota; Neocallimastigomycetes; Neocallimastigales.